Molecule: non-coding RNA, 28 nt
Filed under: Rattus norvegicus (Norway rat)
Lineage: Eukaryota; Metazoa; Chordata; Mammalia; Rodentia; Muridae
Source: RNAcentral
UCCCAAGGUGAGCUGCCAGCCUUCUUCA